Molecule: long non-coding RNA, 224 nt
Filed under: Elaeis guineensis (African oil palm)
Lineage: Eukaryota; Viridiplantae; Streptophyta; Magnoliopsida; Arecales; Arecaceae
Description: long non-coding RNA (EGUI_LNC005801)
Source: RNAcentral
CCUCACAAGGGGUUCAAGGGUAUCACAAGCCUUAUAAGAUGAGACGGUCUGACUGAACAACUGAUAUGGGACUAAAGUCCCGCUCCCUCUGCAACAGUGGAAGUGUUGGGAUAGAUCCCCAUCACUUUGUCGACUGCCACCCUUCUCGCCUCUGAGCCGACUAAGGAAGCUACGCCGACUAAGCCACCUUCAAUCAAUCUGGCUCAAAUUAACGAGUCUCAAUC